AAGGUAACGGAGGCGCCCAAAGGUUCGCUCAGUAUGGUUGGAAAUCAUGCGCAGAGUGUAAAGGCACAAGCGAGCUUGACUGCGAGACAGACAGGUCGAGCAGGGACGAAAGUCGGGCUUAGUGAUCCGGUGGUUCCGUAUGGAAGGGCCAUCGCUCAACGGAUAAAAGCUACCCUGGGGAUAACAGGCUUAUCUCCCCCAAGAGUCCACAUCGACGGGGAGGUUUGGCACCUCGAUGUCGGCUCAUCGCAUCCUGGGGCUGUAGUCGGUCCCAAGGGUUGGGCUGUUCGCCCAUUAAAGCGGUACGCGAGCUGGGUUCAGAACGUCGUGAGACAGUUCGGUCCCUAUCCGUCGCGGGCGUAGGAAAUUUGAGAGGACCUGUCCUUAGUACGAGAGGACCGGGAUGGACAUACCGCUGGUGUACCAGUUGUUCCGCCAGGAGCACCGCUGGGUAGCUAUGUAUGGACGAGAUAAACGCUGAAAGCAUCUAAGUGUGAAACUCGCCUCGAGAUGAGAUUUCCCAUUUCCUUCGGGAAAGUAAGACCCCUCAGAGAUGAUGAGGUAGAUAGGAUGGAAGUGGAAGUGCCGUGAGGCAUGGAGCGGACCAUUACUAAUCGGUCGAGGACUUAACCAAG
RNAcentral lists this ribosomal RNA (635 nucleotides) under Limosilactobacillus reuteri. RNAcentral's name for it is "bacterial LSU rRNA". It matches the Rfam family "Bacterial large subunit ribosomal RNA", at positions 2294 to 2925 of the family's 2925-position model. Lineage: Bacteria; Bacillati; Bacillota; Bacilli; Lactobacillales; Lactobacillaceae. The record is from RNAcentral.